CUCUACUUGCUAGUACACAGUUGGUUCUGUUGUCGUCUAAAUAGAGAAAGACAAACUCAACUAAAUAAUCAUAGUGCGAAAAUGUUCGUCCAACAUCGCACUUGGAUUGGGGCGUUGAACGGGCGACUUUACUUGCCAAAAUAUAAAGAAAAUUAUUUUGCUUGCCGAAGUAACAUGUUGACCACGUGGACGCAACAAUGGAACACGUGAUCCAAUGGUGUACGUCUGCUCGUUAAACGUCACCUGUCGGUUUUACACAGAGGUCACGUGUCCAGCGGACGAACGUUCCACAAACUCAUAAUGGAUUCUUUUAAGCUACUGGUCUGGAUCCACAAGGUGUCACUUACCUGUUGAGGAGCGCCAAAGAUCAGCUUUCAGAGGGUUAUGCUGUGCCCGCCUCACUGGAGACGUGGCAGUCGUAGAUAUUGCGUCUUUUGUUCAAGUCGCUCUCUUCAGUGACGAGCGGCUGCAGAAGCCAAUUUCUGAAGUGUUUUCCCCAACAUCCAUUCUUGCACUAUUGAAUAAAAAGCUGUGGAAACUAAA
Phycodurus eques (leafy seadragon) is the source of this 543-nucleotide long non-coding RNA. RefSeq lists it as uncharacterized. Lineage: Eukaryota; Metazoa; Chordata; Actinopteri; Syngnathiformes; Syngnathidae. The transcript has 5 exons. The record is from RefSeq and is a predicted model, not a curated record.